UUUAGGAUGAAGCUCUUCUGAAGCUAGUGGAUGCCUUGGUGUGCCUGCUGCGCGAGCUGCUGGACUCGGACGCUGGCGACGAGGUCAUGAGGGCCUUGUCCUGCACAGUUCUCACUUUGGUGGAGAGUGCAGCGUCCAGCGGAGGCAUAGGGAUUCGACUCGCACUGGGUUCGAUCACAUCAGUCAUCCAGACCACCGUCACGUGUUCAUGAACCAAACACACGGAAAGCAUCACAUGUGUAGCCCACAGCUUCGAUAUCUAUUAUGUAGCCAGCAUUGCCAAUAUCAAUGGUAUAGUAUAGAAUAGUCUGAUGACCGCUCUGACUACCUCAGCGUUGUGUUCUACUGCGGCAUUCAUGGUGGCGCUGCCACAUUGUAGAUUUGGUUUAUGAAGAAAGCGUUUGGUAUUAACGACCAUACAUUCGUGGAUGCCUUUUCAAGAGGAGUCAAGUACCAGGUGUAUAAGAUUCCGCAAUAAAGCUACUGUAUCCCAGCAACCUCUUUGCUGACAUUGUACUCAUCGUAUUGCAAUGUGGUCAGUGGUAUCGAGCUCUUUCGGAUUAUGUCCCACCUGAAGAACACGUGUGCAGAUUUUCUAUUCGUUUUUUUUCCUUUGCAUACAGCCCUUACGACCUACGUCGAGCUAUGUGUUGAGCUGCAAAGAGGCAUCCGGCAUGAUCGCUUUCAGCAGUGAUGCCCUACCAUUGCCUCAGAAAUCAGAAAGCACACGAAGCCCACGCCCGCGGCCCAUCUCUGAGGUCAUGCUCUUCCAGAACGUAGAACGGUGGCGAAGCGUGAGAAUUGACAGUAAUCCAUUCUAAGCAUCGCGCAAGAGCCAAGGACGACUAAUAAGAGCCCUGGGUGGUUGCUGUCUUUAAACUAUAAGUAUAUCACGAAAAACCGGCGAAUUUAUGAGCGGCAGCCCUGGAACGAGUUAAUAAAAUACAUUAAACUCACACGAAUAGCCAAAAUUAUGACCCAUCAACACGCACUAUUUCAUCUAGAU
Molecule: long non-coding RNA, 1006 nt
Organism: Dermacentor andersoni
Lineage: Eukaryota; Metazoa; Arthropoda; Arachnida; Ixodida; Ixodidae
Source: RefSeq, a predicted model, not a curated record